RNAcentral lists this ribosomal RNA (681 nucleotides) under Pantoea sp. Its description in RNAcentral is "bacterial SSU rRNA". It matches the Rfam family "Bacterial small subunit ribosomal RNA", at positions 763 to 1444 of the family's 1533-position model. The record is from RNAcentral. Lineage: Bacteria; Pseudomonadati; Pseudomonadota; Gammaproteobacteria; Enterobacterales; Erwiniaceae.
GGGGAGCAAACAGGAUUAGAUACCCUGGUAGUCCACGCCGUAAACGAUGUCGACUUGGAGGUUGUUCCCUUGAGGAGUGGCUUCCGGAGCUAACGCGUUAAGUCGACCGCCUGGGGAGUACGGCCGCAAGGUUAAAACUCAAAUGAAUUGACGGGGGCCCGCACAAGCGGUGGAGCAUGUGGUUUAAUUCGAUGCAACGCGAAGAACCUUACCUACUCUUGACAUCCACGGAAUUCGGCAGAGAUGCCUUAGUGCCUUCGGGAACCGUGAGACAGGUGCUGCAUGGCUGUCGUCAGCUCGUGUUGUGAAAUGUUGGGUUAAGUCCCGCAACGAGCGCAACCCUUAUCCUUUGUUGCCAGCGAUUCGGUCGGGAACUCAAAGGAGACUGCCGGUGAUAAACCGGAGGAAGGUGGGGAUGACGUCAAGUCAUCAUGGCCCUUACGAGUAGGGCUACACACGUGCUACAAUGGCGCAUACAAAGAGAAGCGACCUCGCGAGAGCAAGCGGACCUCAUAAAGUGCGUCGUAGUCCGGAUCGGAGUCUGCAACUCGACUCCGUGAAGUCGGAAUCGCUAGUAAUCGUGGAUCAGAAUGCCACGGUGAAUACGUUCCCGGGCCUUGUACACACCGCCCGUCACACCAUGGGAGUGGGUUGCAAAAGAAGUAGGUAGCUUAACCUCCG